GUACAUCACAAGGCCUCCAUAUUCCUUAGCUCUCAACAAAGAUGGCAAAAUCCUCUUCUGGCCCCAACACAGGGUGAAUUUCAUGCAGGAAUGCAUUUCUUCAAAGCUAUUUAAGCUUCUAGAAGUUCAGAUAAUAUUUAGUGGGAUUUUCAGUGUUGCCCAUCUCAAAUGUCUACAGCAAAGCAAAUUAUAUUAAGGUAUACAGUGAUAUGUUUUUAAAGUAUUGUCUGCAUCAUGAGGCAUCUAUUGAGAAAAAAAUACUGGAACAAAUCUGGCUCCAAGUGUCCAUUUGUAAUUGUCUUAGAAAUUUGCCUCUGACUUGAGUGGGAAAGGAUUGUAAAAAGACUUAAGUAAUUGGCAUCUGAUUUUAUUAUCCCACAGUGUGGUUUUAUGAUUUAUUGAAUAGGUUGCCUACAAUGACUGGCUGACUGGCCUGUAUAGUUUGUUUAUUUGGUAUUAGGAAAAACAUCUAUAUAAUUCUGUUAUGAACUCUCCCCUUCUGAAGGGAUGUGUUUGUCCCCUCUACAGGCCUGCCUUCUCUGUGAUGUUCAGACAUUUUCUGGGAAAUUGCCAUGGCAAGAAAAAUUGCAUCUCUCCUCUCCUCCUCCUUCUCAUUUUCUCUCCCUGCAAAGAAUAUUGUUUGUGAAAGCAGCACAACACAGCAACCCUGAUAGCAAGACCAGACCGGAACCCACCUGAUGAGACAAGACAGCAACACUCACACCAGGACAAUGAGAGAACUCUUAGAGGACAACAAGAUCAGCUGCAAAAAGGUAGGGAAGACACCUGAGGGUUAGAGAGGAACAGGUGUGGCUUGGAGGCUGAGCAGGUUUUUCUCAGGACUUUUCCAACACUUCUAAG
This 861-nucleotide long non-coding RNA is filed under the name Junco hyemalis (dark-eyed junco). RNAcentral's name for it is "lncRNA (ENSJHYG00000000175.1)". The record is from RNAcentral. Lineage: Eukaryota; Metazoa; Chordata; Aves; Passeriformes; Passerellidae.